Non-coding RNA from Eumeta japonica, 73 nucleotides. Lineage: Eukaryota; Metazoa; Arthropoda; Insecta; Lepidoptera; Psychidae. The record is from the annotation of a GenBank genome assembly.
GGCAGCGUGGCCGAACGGUCUGAGGUGCUAACUUAAGAUGCUGGAGGCGUGCGUUCGAAUCUCACCACAGCCA